RNAcentral lists this ribosomal RNA (641 nucleotides) under uncultured Gammaproteobacteria bacterium. Its description in RNAcentral is "bacterial SSU rRNA". It matches the Rfam family "Bacterial small subunit ribosomal RNA", at positions 60 to 692 of the family's 1533-position model. The record is from RNAcentral. Lineage: Bacteria; Pseudomonadati; Pseudomonadota; Gammaproteobacteria.
AGUCGAGCGGUAACAUUUCUAGCUUGCUAGAAGAUGACGAGCGGCGGACGGGUGAGUAACGCGUAGGAAUCUACCUAUUGGUGGGGGAUAGCCCAGGGAAACUUGGAUUAAUACCGCAUAAGCUCUUAGGAGGAAAGCGGGGGAUCUUCGGACCUCGUGCCAAUAGAUGAGCCUGCGUAAGAUUAGCUAGAUGGUGGGGUAAUGGCCUACCAUGGCGACGAUCUUUAGCUGGUCUGAGAGGAUGAUCAGCCACACUGGGACUGAGACACGGCCCAGACUCCUACGGGAGGCAGCAGUGGGGAAUAUUGCACAAUGGGCGCAAGCCUGAUGCAGCCAUGCCGCGUGUGUGAAGAAGGCCUUAGGGUUGUAAAGCACUUUCAGUGGGGAGGAAAGGUUAUAAGUUAAUACCUUAUAGCUGUGACGUUACCCACAGAAGAAGGACCGGCUAAUUCCGUGCCAGCAGCCGCGGUAAUACGGAAGGUCCGAGCGUUAAUCGGAAUUACUGGGCGUAAAGCGCACGUAGGCGGCUAGGUCAGUUGGGUGUGAAAGCCCCGGGCUCAACCUGGGAACUGCAUCCAAUACUGCCUGGCUAGAGUACGAGAGAGGGGGGUAGAAUUUCUAGUGUAGCGGUGAAAUGCGUA